This 4073-nucleotide long non-coding RNA is filed under the name Sus scrofa (pig). Its description in RNAcentral is "lncRNA (ENSSSCG00000051804.1)". The record is from RNAcentral. Lineage: Eukaryota; Metazoa; Chordata; Mammalia; Artiodactyla; Suidae.
UUUUUUUUUUUUUUUUUUUUGUGUGUCUCCCCACAUCCCCUCCCCCAUUUGCCUUUGCCUGUUUAUUUUGUAAAGUGAACUCUUCCUGGACUUGGUGUUUGUUGUUUUCCCAGAGUCCUCCAGAUCUCGCUAAAGUAAAGCUCAUGUUCUUAACGUCAGUUCAAAUUCUUUGGUAUUUUUGGACCUUCUCUUAUUUAUUUACCAUCUUCUACUGCACCACAGCAUUGGAGAUUGGUCCAUAAAUUUACAUUUCUAAAGUGCGCCUAUUCUUCUCUAUUUUGUGAUGGGCAGUUUCCUGGGGGCAAGAAAGUCAGCUCAGGGUGCUGAGAAACUUCUGUGGGUGGAAAGGAAAACAGCAAAAUGACAGCAGGAAAGUUGUCUGCCACCAGCCCCACCAACAACCCUCUCUGUCCCUGUGGUAGCUACAAAGGGCUUUUUCAGCUGGGGUGGUGAACAGACAGUGGACCUCUUCAAACCCACCAACUCUGUUUCCAUAGGUAUUAUUUUCUUUUGAAAACUGCCUGAAGAAGAACCUUGUGAAGUGUUUUUCAAAUGGAGAUACAGGAAGAACAAAGGGGCAGGCACCCUGGAGUGUUUUUUUCUUGCUUGCAGGACAAAGAGGAAAGAAAAAAAAAGAAAGGAAUGGAGUAGAUCAGUGGUUUUGAAGUGUAGUUUUGGAGUUCCUGUCGUGGUUCCUCGGGUUAAGGACUGGACUUUUUCUCUGUGAGGAUGCAGGUUUGAUCCCUGUCCUCAAUCUGUGGGUUAAGGGUCCGACAUUGCUACAUGGCUGCUGCAUAGUUUGCAGCUUCAGCUCCGAUUCGGCCCCUAGUCUAGAACUUCCAUAUGUUGCAGGUGUGACCAUAAAAAAAAAGAAGAAGAAGAAGAAGAAGAAGAAGAAAAUGUAGUUUUGAGACCAACAGUAUCAUCUGAGAACUUACUAGAAAUACAGUAUCUCUGGCCUACUAACUCAGAAACUCUGAGAGUGCGUUUACCAGUCUGUGUUCUAGCAAGCCCUCCAAGUGAUUCCAACAGAUGCUGAAGACUGAGAAUCUAAGACAGUUUUACCUCUUCACCCUCAAUAAUAAAACCUCAUCUCUGCUGCCAAGCGCCACCACGUUGGGGGAUUUUCAGGAUGUGAAGGGCUGGGCUGUGGAGACCAGGAGAGGAGGCUUCCUUUUGCCUAGGGAAUAUUUUUCUUUACUUGGAUGAUAAAAAACCAUCCAGAAUAGGUAAGGACAGAAGGAAUAGCACAGACUGAAAUGAGACUGACACUUUCUGUUGUGUUUCCAAAAGCCAACGAAGAAGGGAAAGUUCCCCUUCGAUGCUAAACUUUCUAAGAUUGAAAGUGGAAGAAAAAAAGAAGAAGACCAAGAAGUUCCCUGGUGACCUAAUGGUUAAGGAUCUGACCUUGUCAUUGCUGUGGCUUGGGUUAGAUCCCUGGAAUGGGAACUUCCUCAUGCCAUAGGCGCGGCCAAAGAAAAAAUUAAUGGAAACAUAUUUAGAUUCUUCUUUAAAUAUUACAUGUAUCCAUAAUAAUGGCUACUAUGAACAGAUGACAUGCAUUGCUGAACAUGGUCAGCUUUACUUCAUUUGUUGAGUGGAACACGACUCAGUGGGUCUGCAGAGAGCCCACAUAACUGAAGGAGUAUGGCCCUGGCCCAUGGGUCCACUGUACUGGAACCCGUCUUUGAACCUGCUUCUCUGCAGAGGCCAAUUCUCAUCCCAAUGGUUCUCAGCCUUGGCUGUGGCCUGUAUUAACCCCAGGAGUUUUAAGGAGUGUGGGUACUUGGGUCCAGCCCCAGAGCCCUGAUAUAUUAGGUCAGGGGCAUUGCCAGAGCCUGGAGAUUUCAUAAGCUCCCCUUGGAUUCUGAUGAACCCAGGGCUAAGGCCACUGUCUUACCAUGUCUGUAGCGAAGUGGUUCACAGUCCUGGAAGCAAAUUAGAAUCACUUGUUUCCUCUUCAAACCAAACCAGUGGCCAAUCCGUCCAGUCUUCUGGGACUGGUAUUUAAUUGAUCUGGGGUGGGGCCGAUCAUUGAGUUGUUCUAGAAUAUGGUGGGUGGGGAGAUCACUGUUCUGAGAACAAAGAGGGGCUAUGACUAGUUUUGAAAUAAUGACCCGACCCUGCCAUUAUCACUGCUGAUUAAGUCCUCACCCAGAAUGAGCUUGGGUUGUCUCUGAACAGCAGGAAUCAGACAGUUUAGUUCAGGAUUAUUGACGAUUCAAAUAAGUGCUGUGUGUGAGUGUGUGUGUGCCUCGUAAGGACAAAUAUGAAUAAAACAUAAGAGGCUUAAUUCCCCCUUUUGAAAAUAAGGGGAGAAAUUUCCCUUCUCUCCCUAUCAGAACAUUUACCUUAAAAGUUACAUAACAGUUACUUUAAAAAUGAAAUAAGCCUUUGCCAGCUUUAUGAUCAGGAAGGUCUUUCUUGAGGGCCUAAGAAGAACCCCUUUGAUGGUCAACCUCCAGGGAGAUGGUGCCCUACCUUCUGGUCUCAGUGAGGGUGGGAACCUAAGUCCCUCCAAGUUGCAGAACAACUUCUAGUUUUCUGGUUAAAGUCUAUUAGCUAACACAGAUGGUUACCCCAGUUCCCAAGUAGAGGUGAUGGUAGGAGACCACUGACCAAAACUGCCUACCUUGGCCAAGCAUGAUAAUAGCCACUUGCAUGAGGUGUCACAGCAGGAGACCCUGAUAAGGACCAUGGGGCUGCCCUGAAGACUAACCAGGAGGAUUGGGGAGGAGCCAGUAGGAGGGAGGAGAUGACCAACCUCCCAGGAUCCUUGGCGCUGGAAUACAUCUUGGUUGAGAGGUGCAUGCACCACUAAGAACUAAGACUAAAUACGGGCCAGACUAAGUAUGGGCCAAGCAAGAUGAUUUGUUAGAAACAACCCAGAAACUAACCACAUUCCCAUAAAACCGGAGAUGGCAAGCCACGUGGCAGAGCAGUUCUUCUGGGUUCCCUGCUGCUCUCUGUCCAGGCGCCCCUUCCAAAUAAAGUCUGCUGUGUCAACACCUUUGUCUCCUCGGACAAUUCAUUUGUGAGUGUUAGACAGGAGCCCAUUCUCAGGCCCUGGAAGGGGUCUUCCUUCCUGAAAUAUUAGGAUGAACUAUGUAUGACCAAUAGCCUGUCAAGUCCUCCACCCUGAGGACUAGUUAUUAUUUAUCUUGAAAACUUGUGUCAUCUGUUAUAUCUGCAGGCUGGAUGAAAGGGCAAAUAUGUCCAUUUUCAACCUCUGCAUCUUUUAGCAGAUGACCUGUGAUGCGUACCACAUUCUGGUUUAAUGCUUACCUGGUAAAAACUGACUCUCUGGAUAGGAUUUCUGGAUUGGGAGAAGACUUUUUUAAAAAGUUCUAUUUCCCUGGCAGCACUUAUAUAUGCACGUGUGUAUAUAUGUGUAUGUGUGUGUAUUGAAGGUGAGGGAUUGAGCAUGCUAAGGUUCCUGCCCCCCAUUUUUAUGCCCCAUUUGCCACAGCUUUUAUCUUUUUCAAUUUGGUUUUCCUUAUAAGGUUUACAUGAGAAGAGGCUUUGCUCUACUUUGCCAAAAAGGUUUGAAUGCCAGUGAGGGUAGUUUUUCUGGGUCCCCGUGGCUCUGACCUUCCAGGCAUCUAUGGCUCAGGCCAGGACCACAGCCUCCACUCUCCUGGAUGUCCUGAUGCAGCCAGGGUACCACCUCUGUGUGAAGGGAGCUGGGAUAAUGCUCUUAGGGGAGGGAGGAGUGCUCCUGGAAUUGCUCCUAGUGGUAGUGGUGGUGUAAUUACAGGGUGGGGAUAGACUUAAAGCAUGGGGGUUGUGGGGGUGAAGGUUUGGGGGUGUGUGGGUGUGUGUAUGCAGUGGUAGAAGUGGAGGACUGGAGGGAGUUCCCUUCGUGGCUCAGCAGUUAAGGAACCCGAUUAGGAUCCCUGAGGACAGGGAUUUGAUCCCUGGCCUCGAUCACAAUGGGUUAAGGAUCCAGCGUUGCCAUGAACUGUGGUAUAGGUUGCAGACCCAAGUUGCUGUGGUUGUGGCAUAGGCCAGCGACGGUUACAGCUCCAAUUUGACCCCUAUCCUGGGAACUUACACAUGCUGCAAGUGCAGUC